CAGCAGCCGCGGUAAAACGGAGGGUGCAAGCGUUAUCCGGAUUUAUUGGGUUUAAAGGGUCCGUAGGCGGAUCUGUAAGUCAGUGGUGAAAUCUCACAGCUUAACUGUGAAACUGCCAUUGAUACUGCAGGUCUUGAGUAAAUUUGAAGUGGCUGGAAUAAGUAGUGUAGCGGUGAAAUGCAUAGAUAUUACUUAGAACACCAAUUGCGAAGGCAGGUCACUAAGAUUUAACUGACGCUGAUGGACGAAAGCGUGGGGAGCGAACAGGAUUAGAUACCCCCGUAGUCCCUGUCUCUUAUAC
Molecule: ribosomal RNA, 301 nt
Filed under: uncultured bacterium
Lineage: Bacteria
Description: partial 16S ribosomal RNA
Rfam family: Bacterial small subunit ribosomal RNA
Source: RNAcentral